Molecule: ribosomal RNA, 492 nt
Filed under: uncultured bacterium
Lineage: Bacteria
Description: partial 16S ribosomal RNA
Rfam family: Bacterial small subunit ribosomal RNA
Source: RNAcentral
AGUGAACGCUGGCGGUAGGCCUAACACAUGCAAGUCGAACGGCAGCACAGUAAGAGCUUGCUCUUACGGGUGGCGAGUGGCGGACGGGUGAGGAAUACAUCGGAAUCUACUUUUUCGUGGGGGAUAACGUAGGGAAACUUACGCUAAUACCGCAUACGACCUACGGGUGAAAGCAGGGGAUCUUCGGACCUUGCGCGAUUGAAUGAGCCGAUGUCGGAUUAGCUAGUUGGCGGGGUAAAGGCCCACCAAGGCGACGAUCCGUAGCCGGUCUGAGAGGAUGAUCAGCCACACUGGAACUGAGACACGGUCCAGACUCCUACGGGAGGCAGCAGUGGGGAAUAUUGGACAAUGGGCGCAAGCCUGAUCCAGCCAUACCGCGUGGGUGAAGAAGGCCUUCGGGCUGUAAAGCCCUUUUGUUGGGAAAGAAAAGCAGCAGGUUAAUACCCCGCUGUUCUGACGGUACCCAAAGAAUAAGCACCGGCUAACUUCGUG